AAGUCGAACGAAGUAGCAAUACUUAGUGGCAGACGGGUGAGUAACAUGUAGGUAUCUGCCCUUUGGCCUGGAAUAACACGAGGAAACUUGUGCUAAUACCGGAUAAGUCUUUACGGAGAAAGCUUUAUGCACCAUUGGAUGAGCCUGCACUUGAUUAGUUUGUUGGUGGGGUAAUGGCCUACCAAGACUGUGAUCAAUAGCUGAUUUGAGAGGAUGAUCAGCCACAUUGGGACUGAGACACGGCCCAAACUCCUACGGGAGGCAGCAGUGGGGAAUCUUGCACAAUGGAGGAAACUCUGAUGCAGCGAUGCCGCGUGAGUGAAGAAGGCCCUUGGGUUGUAAAGCUCUUUCGUCGGGGAAGAAAAUGACUGUACCCGAAUAAGAAGGUCCGGCUAACUUCGUGCCAGCAGCCGCGGUAAUACGAAGGGACCUAGCGUAGUUCGGAAUUACUGGGCUUAAAGAGUUCGUAGGUGGUUGAAAAAGUUAGUGGUGAAAUCCCAGAGCUUAACUCUGGAACUGCCAUUAAAACUUUUCAGCUAGAGUAUGAUAGAGGAAAGCAGAAUUUCUAGUGUAGAGGUGAAAUUCGUAGAUAUUAGAAAGAAUACCAAUUGCGAAGGCAGCUUUCUGGAUCAUUACUGACACUGAGGAACGAAAGCAUGGGUAGCGAAGAGGAUUAGAUACCCUCGUAGUCCAUGCCGUAAACGAUGUGUGUUAGACGUUGGAAAUUUAUUUUCAGUGUCGCAGGGAAACCGAUAAACACACCGCCUGGGGAGUACGACCGCAAGGUUAAAACUCAAAUGAAUUGACGGGGACCCGCACAAGUAGUGGAGCAUGUGGUUUAAUUCGAAGAUACGCGCAGAACCUUACCAACACUUGACAUGUUCGUCGCGACUCUAAGAGAUUAGAGUUUUCGGUUCGGCCGGACGAAACACAGGUGCUGCAUGGCUGUCGUCAGCUCGUGUCGUGAGAUGUUGGGUUAAGUCC
This 984-nucleotide ribosomal RNA is filed under the name uncultured bacterium. RNAcentral's name for it is "bacterial SSU rRNA". It matches the Rfam family "Bacterial small subunit ribosomal RNA", at positions 59 to 1087 of the family's 1533-position model. The record is from RNAcentral.